This 253-nucleotide ribosomal RNA is filed under the name uncultured bacterium. RNAcentral describes it as "partial 16S ribosomal RNA". It matches the Rfam family "Bacterial small subunit ribosomal RNA", at positions 524 to 776 of the family's 1533-position model. The record is from RNAcentral.
UACGGACGGGGCAAGCGUUGUUCGGAAUCAUUGGGCGUAAAGGGCGCGCAGGUGGCUCUGUAUGUCUGCCUUGAAAGCAUACAGCUCAACUGUAUUGUGUCGGUAGAAACUGCAGGACUUGAGGCUGGGAGGGGCUGGUGGAAUUCCCUGUGUAGCGGUGAAAUGCGUAGAGAUGGGGGAGAACACUCGUGGCGAAGGCGGCCAGCUAGACCAGUUCUGACACUGAGGCGCGACAGCGUGGGGAGCAAACAGG